RNAcentral lists this ribosomal RNA (608 nucleotides) under uncultured bacterium. RNAcentral's name for it is "bacterial SSU rRNA". It matches the Rfam family "Bacterial small subunit ribosomal RNA", at positions 28 to 635 of the family's 1533-position model. The record is from RNAcentral.
AUUGAACGCUGGCGGCAUGCCUAACACAUGCAAGUCGAACGGAGAUAGGGGCAACCUUAUUUCAGUGGCGGACGGGUGAGGAAUGCGUCGGAAUCUACCCUAUGGUGGGGGAUAACACAGGGAAACUUGUGCUAAAACCGCAUAAUGUCGAGAGACCAAAGCAGGGGACCGCAAGGCCUUGCGCGAUAGGAUGAGCCGACGCCCGAUUAGCUUGUUGGUAGGGUAAUGGCCUACCAAGGCGACGAUCGGUAGCUGGUCUGAGAGGAUGAUCAGCCACACUGGGACUGAGACACGGCCCAGACUCCUACGGGAGGCAGCAGUGGGGAAUAUUGGACAAUGGGCGCAAGCCUGAUCCAGCAAUGCCGCGUGUGUGAAGAAGGCCUGCGGGUUGUAAAGCACUUUUGUUCGGGAAGAAAUCAUAUCGGUUAAUACCCGAUGUGGAUGACGGUACCGGAAGAAUAAGCACCGGCUAACUUCGUGCCAGCAGCCGCGGUAAUACGAAGGGUGCAAGCGUUAAUCGGAAUUACUGGGCGUAAAGCGUGCGUAGGCGGCUUUUUAAGUCGGAUGUGAAAUCCCCGGGCUCAACCUGGGAAUGGCAUUCGAUACUG